AGUGAACGCUGGCGGUAGGCCUAACACAUGCAAGUCGAACGGCAGCACAGUAAGAGCUUGCUCUUACUGGUGGCGAGUGGCGGACGGGUGAGGAAUACAUCGGAAUCUACUUUUUCGUGGGGGAUAACGUAGGGAAACUUACGCUAAUACCGCAUACUACCUACGGGUGAAAGCAGGGGAUCUUCGGACCUUGCGCGAUUGAAUGAGCCGAUGUCGGAUUAGCUAGUUGGCGGGGUAAAGGCCCACCAAGGCGACGAUCCGUAGCUGGUCUGAGAGGAUGAUCAGCCACACUGGAACUGAGACACGGUCCAGACUCCUACGGGAGGCAGCAGUGGGGAAUAUUGGACAAUGGGCGCAAGCCUGACGCAGCCAUACCGCGUGGGUGAAGAAGGCCUUCGGGUUGUAAAGCCCUUUUGUUGGGAAAGAAAAGCAGCAGGUUAAUACCCCGCUGUUCUGACGGUACCCAAAGAAUAAGCACCGGCUAACUUCGUG
RNAcentral lists this ribosomal RNA (492 nucleotides) under uncultured bacterium. RNAcentral's name for it is "partial 16S ribosomal RNA". It matches the Rfam family "Bacterial small subunit ribosomal RNA", at positions 29 to 507 of the family's 1533-position model. The record is from RNAcentral.